ACCCGACGGAAAGUGCCACAGAAACAAACCGCUGCAAGGCAGUAAGGGUGAAAAGGUGAGGUAAGAGCUCACCGCGCAAUUGGUAACAAUUGUGGUCCAGGCAAACCCCAUCUGGAGCAAGGCCUAAUAGAGGUUUAUAGGGUUCCGAGCCUAACCUGGGUUGGCCGCUUGAUCUUACUGGUAACAGUAAGGCUAGAUAGAUGGUCGUCAGUCAUCCACAUGGGUGAUUACAGAACUCGGCUUAUAGUUCCCCUCAACCG
This 260-nucleotide RNase P RNA is filed under the name Dehalococcoidia bacterium. Its description in RNAcentral is "partial RNase P RNA component class A". It matches the Rfam family "Bacterial RNase P class A", at positions 97 to 367 of the family's 367-position model. Rfam says of the family: Ribonuclease P (RNase P) is a ubiquitous endoribonuclease, found in archaea, bacteria and eukarya as well as chloroplasts and mitochondria. Its best characterised activity is the generation of mature 5'-ends of tRNAs by cleaving the 5'-leader elements of precursor-tRNAs. The record is from RNAcentral. Lineage: Bacteria; Bacillati; Chloroflexota; Dehalococcoidia.